AUACGUAGGGGGCUAGCGUUGUCCGGAUUUAUUGGGCGUAAAGAGCGUGUAGGCGGCCAGGUAGGUCUGCUGUGAAAACUCGAGGCUCAACCUCGAGACGUCGGCGGAAACCAUCUGGCUAGAGUCCGGAAGAGGAGAGUGGAAUUCCUGGUGUAGCGGUGAAAUGCGCAGAUAUCAGGAAGAACACCCGUGGCGAAGGCGGCUCUCUGGGACGGUACUGACGCUGAGACGCGAAAGCGUGGGGAGCGAACA
This 252-nucleotide ribosomal RNA is filed under the name uncultured prokaryote. RNAcentral describes it as "partial 16S ribosomal RNA". It matches the Rfam family "Bacterial small subunit ribosomal RNA", at positions 523 to 774 of the family's 1533-position model. The record is from RNAcentral.